UGGGGAAUAUUGCACAAUGGAGGGAACUCUGAUGCAGCGACGCCGCGUUAACGAAGAAGGCUUUCGAGUCGUAAAGUUCUUUUAUAUGGGAAGAUAAUGACGGUACCAUAAGAAAAAGCCUCGGCUAACUACGUGCCAGCAGCCGCGGUAAUACGUAGGGGGCUAGCGUUGUCCGGAAUCACUGGGCGUAAAGGGUUCGCAGGCGGAAAUGCAAGUCCGGUGUAAAAUGCAGUAGCUUAACUACUGUAAUCAUUUGAAACUGCAUAUCUUGAGAAGAGUAGAGGUAAGUAGAAUUUUUAGUGUAGCGGUAAAAUGAGUAGAUAUUAAAAAGAAUAACGGUGGCAAAGGCGACUUACUGGGCUCAUUCUGACGCUGAGGAACGAAAGCGUGGGUAGCAAACAGG
Molecule: ribosomal RNA, 403 nt
Filed under: Verrucomicrobiota bacterium
Lineage: Bacteria; Pseudomonadati; Verrucomicrobiota
Description: Verrucomicrobia bacterium partial 16S ribosomal RNA
Rfam family: Bacterial small subunit ribosomal RNA
Source: RNAcentral